RNAcentral lists this ribosomal RNA (460 nucleotides) under uncultured bacterium. RNAcentral describes it as "partial 16S ribosomal RNA". It matches the Rfam family "Bacterial small subunit ribosomal RNA", at positions 338 to 795 of the family's 1533-position model. The record is from RNAcentral.
CCUACGGGAGGCAGCAGUGAGGAAUAUUGGUCAAUGGACGAGAGUCUGAACCAGCCACGUAGCGUGAAGGAUGACUGCCCUAUGGGUUGUAAACUUCUUUUAUAUGGGAAUAAAACGUUCCACGUGUGGGAUUUUGUAUGUACCAUAUGAAUAAGGAUCGGCUAACUCCGUGCCAGCAGCCGCGGUAAUACGGAGGAUCCGAGCGUUAUCCGGAUUUAUUGGGGUUAAAGGGAGCGUAGGUGGAUUGUUAAGUCAGUUGUGAAAGUUUGCGGCUCAACCGUAAAAUUGCAGUUGAAACUGGCAGUCUUGAGUACAGUAGAGGUGGGCGGAAUUCGUGGUGUAGCGGUGAAAUGCUUAGAUAUCACGAAGAACUCCGAUUGCGAAGGCAGUUCACUGGACUGCAACUGACACUGAGGCUCGAAAGUGUGGGUAUCAAACAGGAUUAGAUACCCCAGUAGUC